Long non-coding RNA from Cavia porcellus (domestic guinea pig), 9426 nucleotides. RefSeq lists it as uncharacterized. NCBI's taxonomy places the organism in Eukaryota, Metazoa, Chordata, Mammalia, Rodentia, Caviidae. The transcript has 4 exons. The record is from RefSeq and is a predicted model, not a curated record.
UCCGGGGUUUGUGACGACCUGUGCUCCGAGUCUAUCUUUCCUACGGUUCCCAGAGGAAGUAGACUGCAAUUGCCUCCCCUUCUUUGUUUAGAAGGCUGCCCCCAGGAUCUUCGGGAGAUAUAUGGAGAGCCUGGGCUUAAGUGACACCUCGAGAUGGCACAGAUGGGGCUUUGGGGCAUUCUCUGUGUGAGACAAGGAACAAAGAGAAUAUUGGAGACCGCAGUGCGUGCUGGGACCAUUUGCUCAGGAGGACCACAUUUGUCACAUCCACUGCAGGGAGAAAUGUGUUUAAUGUUUGCUCAGUGAAGACAGCUGGAUUCUCAGAACCACAUCCGGAUCCAAUCUGUCACAAUGUGCUGUUGUGUUUGAAGUAUAGGAAGAGAAUGUGGCUCCCCACAGAUCCGGAGUUGGAAAACAGAUGAGUAUUUUGAGUGUUUUUCUAGCUUUUAAAGGAGUGAUUGUAAGCUUUCUGCUUUGACAGAAAACAAGUCAACAAGGGGCUGGUUUUUAAAGGUCACCUGCGAUGCGGGACGGGAAGUUUCAGAUAACUUUUCCUCUUUUGGUCCAUAAAGAUCCGUCCUUCAGAUGGACUUCUUCCCCCGCGCCACCCCGUGGGUUGGGUCCGGCCAGGCUGUGCAUGUCUGUCCCCCUGCUCUUCACGGUUCUACCCGUGUCACUAAUAUCACACUCGCUGAUCACGCCACCUGCUGGUCAGGAGUUCUGGGCAGCUGCCAGGCUCAUGCUGGGGGUCAUGUGUCCCCAGAUCUCACGUUUGCUGGGAAGCCAGGUCUCCGUGAUUGGCUACAAGCACUGCGGUGUUCGGAACAGAAACUUGGCUCCGCACGUUUUGUGGCAAUGUUGGCAGUGCCCAGGUCUGAAUGACAGCCUUUGUCUCAGCCGUGCCUACCCAUGUCGUGUCCCUCCAGCUCUGCCUGAGAUCCAUGCUCACCUUGGUUUGUAACCGGUCCACUGCUCCCGUUUGAGGAUUUUAAGUGAAUAGUUCUGCGCUGCUCUGUGCCCUGUGCCCUGUGCCCUCUUCUGCUGUACGUGGAUGUCCCUGUCACAGCAGAUACCCUGCGGGUUGGUGGUGGGGCUCUGCCCUCCAGGCUGAGGGGGCCAGGAGGAGGGGGCCUCUUCCAGCCUGUGGCUUCAGCAUCUGCCACAAGAAGCUUCGUGGCUGCUUCUACCCAGAAGAGGGCUGCAGGGCUUCACACAGAGAUGGGGCACCCUGGUAGGAAGGGCUCCGUGCCGCGUCUGCUCCUGUGGGAGGACCGCCCCGCCUCCCUGUGCAGUGAGGGAGCCCGUGGUCUGCCCUCCUGCCUGCCUGGACAGCUGGGCGCUUUGUGGCUCAGUCCUUCCUGGGAGGAGGUUGGUGCUCAGCCGCUCAGACUGGCCACCCCAGCCCGUGGCCACUCUCUCCCGCUGAGCGCCAUCCCUUCUGUGCCUGCCAUUGUCAUCCAUGUCCCUGUUGGUCCUGACUGUGUGCCUGACUAUGUGCCUGUCUGAGGAGCAGCUCAGGUCUCUCCUCCUGCACCUGCUGGAUGGCCAUGUGGGUGACAUGUGGCUCUCCCGUCUGGAGUUUCCAUCUGCCCCAGGGGGAGCUCCUUCUCCCUUCUGGGCCUCAGUUUACCCUCUCUGUGUGGGAGGAGUCAGCUGACAACUGGUGGGUGGGUCCCGCUGUCCCUGUCAGAUCAUGGAGCUGCCUGGUGAGUCAUACAGCGGGGAUUCAGAGUGUCCUGUGAGUGCUGCUGGCUGUGAGUGUCCUGUCGGGCGGUGCUGCCUCUCUCUGUCUCUCAGAGUAUUUAUUUUGGUUUACACUCUGGCAGUUAAGCUAGGUUGCAUCAACUUGAAUGGCUUGGGAGCCGCUUGGAGGAUCAGCCGCUUGGAGGGCCACUUCUAGGUGGUCAUGGAGACAUGAUCUUGGGUGCUAUACGCAGUCUCCAGCCCCUUCUCUCUGGUGCUGUCCCCUGCUCUGCGUCCUGGCCUUUCUGAAUUAGCACCCCUUGUCCUCCACACUCUUCCACCAUGAUGCUUCUAAGUCAGCCGACCAUGGACUGAACCCCUGAUACCCUGAGCCAAACUAGACCUGUCCUGCUUUAAGCUAAGGAGUCAGGAGUUGAGUUAGGAAAUGCAUACUUCCAGCACCUGCCUUCCUGGGGCUGCUUGAACACAGGCCCCUGAGCUGCCAGGACUGCAGUCCCACAGGGGCUCUGCUCUGCUGCAGUGAAGACCCAAGCUGCAGUGCUCCAGGGAGGGUGAGUGGCUGUCCCUAUGGUCACCAUGCUGACUGUGUGUGGUCAGGCCACACCUAUCCAUUUAGCACAGAGGCCUGAGGCUGCCUGGAUUCUCCUGGAAGCUCACCUGGGUGCCCUGUGCCACGGGGCACUCCUGUCCCCUUCUCUGCAUGGGAGCCAGUCAGGUUUAGCCUGGCCUUUGUGGAUGUGGGAGUCUGGUCAUCACUCAGGGGCCAGACCCUGUCCUGGCUGGAUUUCCGGGGUGCAGAGGAAGAUCAGUGCCCGGGAAGUAAUGGUCCCCAGCAGCAUACACUGUGGCCAGCACUGAGGCCAUGGACACCAGAGGUUGGGUGGCCUGAAAUCAUUCAGGACCCUUGAAAUGCAGGUUCUCAGGACUCAGCCCAGACAUGUGGGGGCCCCAGGCUUUAGGUGGGUCUGGGAAUCUCCACAUCUGGGUGACCGGAAGCAGGCAGGCACACUGCCCUAGGGGGCUGACCUGGAGUAGGGCACUGACCACUACGGUGUCUGUAUCUGCCCAACUUGCAUCUUUGCUGCGGCCAGCGUUCCUGCUCCUGUGGCUUCCCUUGUGUAGGUUCAGAGGAUGCCCAGGCUGUGCCUUCUGCCCCCUGGCUGACCUCUUUGGCACGCUUUUGGGUUUUGUGUUCUAGCAGGAGAGGAGGCAGGCACCGUCUGAGAGAUGGGAGCAUGUGUUUAUGUCAGAUCUCUGCUGCUCAUGGACGGCCUUCCCUGGGGACUCCUGUGCCCAGUGCUCUGGGGAUGCGAUGCUGUCCCUUCCCUCUGCUCCGCAUAUGCUGAGCACGUCCUGCCUGUGCAGGAGAUGCCCGUUGAGAUGGAGAAAGAGUCCACAGGAGCCCGGGGCCUCACCGCCUGGCAGCCCGCUGAGGGAGGGUUGGCUUCCCAGCUGCCCCGCUGCCCCCCUGCCCAGCUGCUGCCUGGACCCCUGCCGUUGCUCCUCUCCUAAACAAGCCCUGUUCGAGGUUUCCCUGCUGUCCGAAGAGAGGUCAGGGACGGAGCUGCUUCCAAGCACAGAGCUGGGGUCUAGGGUGCAUCUCCAGCACAGGGAUUUGCUCCUGUCUGUGAGUCUCCCCUGCCUGGCCCCUCAGAACACACUGCGGCCCACUGGUGGCUACACCUGCGGUCCAAGGCUGCGGGCCGCUGGGAGGGGACAGCUCCUAUGGCUGCUACCUCCUCCAGUUUCCAUCGGCGAUGGCCACAGUGACCUUGUCCCCUGCACCAGGGUGAGCUCCACACUCCUCCUCGAGGCUGGCUGCUUUUUGAGGUCCUCAGCCCUGGAGACCCCUUUUCUCAUGUGUUUGGGAGGACGUGGCACAGAGAGGAAGAGGGGAGAGGUCACCGGCUGCCUUUGCUGCUCAGGAAUCUUCCCAGAGCCUUGGGAAAAGUGCUUUUCCUGGAUGCAGGGAUUCUCCGGACAGGGAAAUGCUGUCCUCCUUUAGAUUUUCCAGAGCCACUCUUUCCCUUCCCUCUGCUCAUCCAUGUGCUCAGAAGGCCCAAGUUUCACGGGAUUACUGUAAACCCAGGGCCCUUGCCUGCCUCUGAUCCUGGAGCUCGAGACUGGCUCAUGGCUCAGUCCCGAGGCCGCGUGGGUUCUCUAGGGGAGGCCGAGCAUCCUGGACCUGCAGCGAGGCAAAGCCUCCAGGUUGAGGCUCCCCAGGGUGUGCGCAGCACCUCCUCAGCUGCCCUCUCCCCGUCCCUUCCCCCCUCUCUCCCUGGGUCCUGCCCUGGCCUGAGCCAUUUUCUGAGGGUGCUCUUUGCCAUCCAGAAGGAUCCUUCCAGAAGUUUGGCUCCAGGAAGCUCUGCCCACGGAAAGCAUGUUGGGGUCCCCAGCUCUCCGAGCCGGGUGCAGAUCAGUCCAUGUUUCCAAGGCUCCCUUUCCCCCUUCUGUCAUCUGAAGCUGGGCUACAUGUAUCCCUGCUCUGCCCAGAUGUGGCCUCCAGCUCUCUGAGAUGAGCUGGAGCCUCCUGAACCCGAGGGGGACCCAGGGACACGGAGUCCAUCCCUGUGGCUGAGCAAGGCCUCGGCGCUGCGGAAGGGGCGUUAAUGCUCAUGUUGUGUGGGGAAAACAGCCUGGGAGAGAGGCUCGCCUGCAAUUUCAUGUAACUAAAUGUCAUCCCACGCCGCCCGGAGGGUCGGGGCUGGGCCGAGAGGGAUGAGGGGGAUUGUACAACCUGGCUCAUCACCCUCAGCUCCUAUUUAUCAUAAAAUCAUUUACAGCACCAUAAAACGUGUUAAUAUGGGCAGCUGGUGAUGUAUGUCUUUGAUUUAGGAGCUGACAUUUCUGUCCAGUGGCUGCUCAGCGUGGGGCCUGAAGCCCCGGGCAGAGACAGCAGAAGUAAUCACACCCACCUCGGUGGUUGCUGGUGGUGACCAGCUGGGCUCACAGGCCUCUCUGCGGGGAGCCUGCAGGGGUGAGGUGGGGGAGUGCAGUGCCUCUGGGUGCUCAGCAUGUGGGGCGGGGCCGGAUCCCAUGCAGCUACUGAGGGCCAGGCUGAGUGGAAGGCUGGGCCGACUGACCUGCCUUCCUCUCCUAGGAAGUGGACUUACAAUUUAAAUAAUGAGACAAGCCCAGUGUGACCCCCUCAGAGGGCGCUGGCUGCAGUCAGAGCACAACUAUCUCAACACACUCUUUAUUGAGCACCUGCUAUGUGCCUGGGCCAAAGGAAGCCGUGUGCAAGCCGUGGACUAUGCUCCUGGCCACAGAAUUGGGCCUCCUUCCAGAUGGGUCGAGGGCAGAUGGGAGAGGAAAGGGUGCAGGGGGUGUCUGCAGCCCUCUGCCCCACCUUCCGCCAGUGCUCACACGUCUCCUGAGUUCCUGUCCCUCAAAGGGGUGAGUCAGCCACUUGGAAAGGCCCACUGCAGACAAAUGACCCGGAAACAUGGACACAGCGUCUAGGUGGCUUUGGGACUAGAGGAUCCCCACAAACUUGGGUCUCCAUUUGCGGGAAAUUUACUCCUAAGAAGCUCGCCCUCUCUAUCUCCCCACUUGCCUUCCGCUCCUCUCCAGGCUGGUUCUCCACCCUUACCACGGGCUUGUUUUUGUUAAUUUGAAAGGUAAACGCCAAUGCCCCGUGGAACUCUGUCCCCCACCCCAGUUUAUUAAAAAAGUUAAAGGCCUCGCAAAUCAUUUCUACGGGCAAUUAAAUGCCCUGGUGUGCACACGGGGGCUCAGCUGGCAGAGGCUCCAGGCUGGAUCGGGUCUGUUUCCCGGGUGCACCCGCCCCCAUCCCCACUGGACCCCCAGCCACGCCCUGGGACCCCGAGAUAAGCGUUUCCAUACAUCAAUCUCAGGAGGAGUGCGGUUUAUAUUCUGGGCACCGAGCAUUUUUAUUUGCCAAUAUUUUUUGGUCUCCGUGAGAACUGUCGGUUCAUAACUUUCAUUAUUGCGCAGUGUUAUUUACAGAUCCCGGCGUCAGGGAAACCAGCUGGGGGAAUAUUUGUUCGCACGGCCCAGGCCCCCGCCUCCCCCGAAAGCUCUACAUAAACUUUCCGCCAAAUCUGAAGGCCAACAUCCAUCAGGCUCCGGCACGAGUGUGAGGUGGAGAGGCGGUUUCAUUCUCGUUUUCGGAACAUUUCCUCUUCAGUUUGCAGUGUCCAGCCUCCUCCCGAAGGACCCACCAGGGUGGACCCCAGACAUCAUUUCCAGAUGGGCGGCUCCAGGGCCAUUCUGCUGCUGUGUCCAUGGGCAACCUGGCCCAGCUACUCCAGCUCCUCGGGGGCCUCCCAUUCAAAGAGGGUCAUGUCCAUCAGGGUCAUGCAGAGAUUAUCAGCUUUAAACCCAGUGUGGAAGCCAGCGCCCCAACAGCGUGUUUCCCAAGGUGUAGAUGGAUUCACAUGGGCAGUCUUACAAGACCCCAGUGUAAGCCAUCCAUGUGAUCUCUGAGCUGCACAUAAAACAGAACAGGCUGAGAGAUGGGGACUUGCCCUGAACAUCCGAGAUGUAUGGCCACACUGGUCGCGUGAUCCCCACGGGGACUGCAGCUGACUGUCCCUGUGUAGCAGCUGUGGGUGGACAGCUGACCUUGCCAUCUCUGGGGUGAGCCUCCUCCUGCAUCCCGAGUCCACUCCAGAGGCAGCUCAGCUGGCCCCAUGAUCCCUCGCCCUCCCCCACCUGGAGACCCGGUGGCACAGGGACAGGAAGCCCACUCCUGACGUGAGAACCAACUCGGGGUUCUGGGGAGACUGUCUCACACACACGGGGUGCACUGUGGGCAGGAUGUGGAGUGUGGGGGUGGGACACACAUGGAACUCAGCACAGUGAGCGAUGUGAGGAGGAGCCUGCUCCGUAGGGGUGGGGGUGGCCCUCCAGUGGGGCUCCUGGACAAGCGCUGGGCACCGCCCCAUCUUUCCUCUGUUCACAGCAGUGUGAAUGGCACACCCUGCCCUCAUCCCGCUUUCAGGCCCCAGCAAGAUUUCCCCAGAGGAGCAGGGCUGCUUCCUGACCUGACCUGCUGAGGAGGGUGGGCCCCUGAGGGAACUCUCAGGACGAGGAGGUGCAGGGGCCCCAGGGGAGCUGAGACCUGCUGGAGCCCCUUCUGUGCUGCUGUCCGUCACUCAGAGGGGCAGCUGACAGCAGGUGGCGCUGCCCUGGGGCCCCUGGUGUGGGUGAGGGAGAUCCCCCCCCCCAUGGGGGGCCGGGUCCAGUGUCAUCGAGGAUUCUCCGAGGGUGGGGUUUCUGGUGCAGGUGGGGGCUCCCUCAGGGAUGGCUGGGCCCUGGCUGGGCUGCCCUAGGCUUGCUGCUGUCGUACAGGGUCGGAGGCCAGGCGCAGAGUAGGAAGCUCUGUGGUGAGUCCGCCGGCCCUGGCAAUGCGGGGCCCAUGCUCACACAAGCUUUGCUCCCAAGAUUGUUUCGAGAUAAUAGUGCGACUUCUAUGAGUGAGACUUCUAGGAGGUUCCAUUCGGGGUGGACAGGAUGGAGAAGGAGAAGGAGGCGUCCUCCCGGCCGGUCACCGUGGACGAGGUGUCUGUCUGUGGUAACUGUUUCUGGAUGCUCCAAGGUGGGGAGCCCUUGUGCGCCAGGGCUCACACACCACCUGUGCUUUGACAGCACGGUGGGAGGUGUGGGGGUGCUGUGCCAUUAGCCCCACAAGUCCCUGCUCCGUGGCAUCGUCUGGGAGGGGUCACCCCACGAGGCCUGUGGGCAGAGGACGGCGGCUCUUGGCUCUGCUCCCGUUCCCCUGUACCAGCUUGCUCUCUGCCCCUUGUCCCUGGCGUCUUCUGCCCACAUGUCCAUCGGGCACCCUCUCCCUCCCCUAGUUCCUGCGUCCUCUUAGCUCAGGUCGGGUUUGGGGGCGGCAUCUGCCUUUAGAGCAAAGCACAGCCUUGGCGGUGUGGAGUGGGCAUCAGGUUCCCACGGAGCCAGGCUGCGCCACCUGGCCCCCUUCGGGCCCCACCUCCAGGGCUGGCUCCCCGGCUCCUUGUGCUUCCUCGGGAGCUGAGAUGAAUGGAGACAGAGGAAUGGGCACAGGCAGUGGGGGUGGUGGCCAGGGUUGGGGCCACCUCCCCUUCCCUGUGUCCUGCAGGGAGGCCGGGCGCCCUCCCCGCCGCCUCUUCCUCGUGGCUUUCCUGUCUUGAAACCUCCAGCCCUGGCCGGAUUCCACCUCAUGCUCUUUCUCGAGGCUGCUGACCCUGGAGCAACUCAUGAGAAGCCACUCCGAGAGCCUCUGUAGAGCUGGGAAACUGUCACCACAAUCCAUUUCAGAGUAUUUUCUUUGCCUCCAAAGAAUCGUCGCACCUCUCAGCGUCACCCAAGGUUUCUCCCAAAUCCCUGGCAGCGGCGCCAAGCAUGGAGUGUCCAUCUCCAUGGACUGCCGUUCCGGUUCUGGAUGCGCAUCUCAGGCUGUCCUGGCUGCCGUGACCCAGCUCCUCACAGAGAAAGGUGUGACAGCCGGGUUUAUUCCCCCCGGGCCUGCAGGCAGCAGGGCGGGGCCCAGUGGCGGCUGUGUGGACUGCACCUUCUCUCCAUCUUGCUGUGGCCUCCCUUAUGAAGACAGGGAUGUCAUUCACAAGGGGACAGCCUGAGUCAAGGAACAAAAAGCGUGAACCAGAAAAGAGGAAAGUACUCACCGCUGUUGAAGAUGAAACUCAGUGUCCAGAGAUGCUGUAGCUAAGGACAAACAGGGGUCACGGGCUGGGCACCAGGUACCGGUGGUGCCAGAGCUGGCGGAUGUGGUGCCCAGUCUUAAUGACCCUUCAGACCUGGCCUUGAGGCAAAUGACCGCCAGGAAGGGUCAGCUCCGAGGAGAGGAGUGUGCAGGACUGCGAUCAGCAGUGUGCGAAGUGAACAGAAACGGAGGUGACUCGUGGUCUCAGGGCUGGGGAGAAAGUACCGUCCUGCACCGCCUAGAGGUGCUGAGAACCUGGAAAGAGCCACUCCAGGCUUGCAGCCCCUGCGGCUCCGCAGAGCACCUUUUCGAGGCCUGGAGUCACCUGGUGUCCUCCCAGCAGCCCCAGCGUGUGAUACCACCUUGCUGCCCGCUGUGACGUCAUUCAAGCUCUACCUCAGGGCCUCUGACCACAGCCUGGGUGCCUCAGGAUGCUGGGGCUGGAAGUCCGAGGUCAAGGCGACAUUGUAAAGGCCAAGGGACUGUCUUGGGCUCCUGUGCGUCUCAGCCCGAGGACAUGGUUCUGGCUUCAACAUAGGAACCUGAGGGGUCACUUCCUGCCUGUAGGCCAUGCCUACAAACAUUAUUUAAAAAAAAAAAAAAUCAAUGCGCUGCUCCCACUCUAACAGUGAGGCCCGGGAGGAGAGUAAUUUAUCAGGACAUGAGUUUCAGCGUGCAUCUGCCUGGCGGAGGGAGAUGUUUGCAGACUGGAACGGUCGUGUUGUUUUAACUCCCAACACUCCACAGGGCACGGCUGUCACUGCGUGUUCCUCCUAAGUGACGAGCCUCGUGUGGAAGGCUCCGGGCGGAGAGGGAAGGACCGGCUUCACUCCUCGGGCUCAGCACUGGGAGGACCUGGUCCACGGCACGCAGAGUGGGGCCGGGGACAGUGCGGGGGGGGGGGUGGUGGCCUCGGCAGAGCUCGGUUCUGGGCGGUUUCCCUUCUCCUGCAGCCCCUGUCAGGGCCGCCACCCCUGGCAAGCCCAGACAGGGUGGAGGACCCCUGCACGACUAUCCCUGAGUAAAGGGCAGUAGUCUCCAGCUCAGCUACA